RNAcentral lists this unclassified non-coding RNA (231 nucleotides) under plant metagenome. RNAcentral's name for it is "partial contains small subunit ribosomal RNA, internal transcribed spacer 1, and 5.8S ribosomal RNA". The record is from RNAcentral.
UCUCCGCUGGUGAACCAGCGGAGGGAUCAUUACAGGGUUGCAAAACUCCCAAACUCUUGUGAACGUUACUUAUCCCGUUGCUUCGGCGGGCGGCCCGGGCCCCGCGCCCGGCGCCCCCCGGCCCCCCGUGGGCGCCCGCCGGAGGUAAACCAAACCCUUGAAUUGCAUGGCCACUCUGAGUCUUCUGUACUGAAUAAGUCAAAACUUUCAACAACGGAUCUCUUGGUUCUG